UAAGACGGAGGGAGCGAGCGUUGUUCGGAUUUACUGGGUGUAAAGGGCGUCUAGGCGGGUUUGUAAGUCAGGUGUGAAAUCCUCCGGCUUAACCGAAGAACCGCAUUUGAUACUACAAGUCUUGAGUUCGGAAGAGGGAAGCGGAAUUCCUGGUGUAGCGGUGAAAUGCGUAGAUAUCAGGAAGAACACCAGUGGCGAAGGCGGCUUCCUGGUCCGAUACUGACGCUGAAGCGCGAAAGUGUGGGGAGCGAACAGGAUUAGAUACCCUGGUAGUCCACACUGUAAACGAUGGAUGCUAGGUGUCGGGGGUAUCGACCCCUUCGGUGCCGAAGUUAACGCAUUAAGCAUCCCACCUGGGGAGUACGGUCGCAAGGUUG
This 377-nucleotide ribosomal RNA is filed under the name uncultured bacterium. RNAcentral describes it as "bacterial SSU rRNA". It matches the Rfam family "Bacterial small subunit ribosomal RNA", at positions 521 to 896 of the family's 1533-position model. The record is from RNAcentral.